RNAcentral lists this ribosomal RNA (767 nucleotides) under Bacteroides sp. ES-16. RNAcentral describes it as "bacterial SSU rRNA". It matches the Rfam family "Bacterial small subunit ribosomal RNA", at positions 25 to 781 of the family's 1533-position model. The record is from RNAcentral. Lineage: Bacteria; Pseudomonadati; Bacteroidota; Bacteroidia; Bacteroidales; Bacteroidaceae.
CAGGAUGAACGCUAGCUACAGGCUUAACACAUGCAAGUCGAGGGGCAGCAUGGUCUUAGCUUGCUAAGGCCGAUGGCGACCGGCGCACGGGUGAGUAACACGUAUCCAACCUGCCGUCUACUCUUGGACAGCCUUCUGAAAGGAAGAUUAAUACAAGAUGGCAUCAUGAGUCCGCAUGUUCACAUGAUUAAAGGUAUUCCGGUAGACGAUGGGGAUGCGUUCCAUUAGAUAGUAGGCGGGGUAACGGCCCACCUAGUCUUCGAUGGAUAGGGGUUCUGAGAGGAAGGUCCCCCACAUUGGAACUGAGACACGGUCCAAACUCCUACGGGAGGCAGCAGUGAGGAAUAUUGGUCAAUGGGCGAGAGCCUGAACCAGCCAAGUAGCGUGAAGGAUGACUGCCCUAUGGGUUGUAAACUUCUUUUAUAAAGGAAUAAAGUCGGGUAUGGAUACCCGUUUGCAUGUACUUUAUGAAUAAGGAUCGGCUAACUCCGUGCCAGCAGCCGCGGUAAUACGGAGGAUCCGAGCGUUAUCCGGAUUUAUUGGGUUUAAAGGGAGCGUAGAUGGAUGUUUAAGUCAGUUGUGAAAGUUUGCGGCUCAACCGUAAAAUUGCAGUUGAUACUGGAUAUCUUGAGUGCAGUUGAGGCAGGCGGAAUUCGUGGUGUAGCGGUGAAAUGCUUAGAUAUCACGAAGAACUCCGAUUGCGAAGGCAGCCUGCUAAGCUGCAACUGACAUUGAGGCUCGAAAGUGUGGGUAUCAAACAGGAUAAU